RNAcentral lists this ribosomal RNA (464 nucleotides) under Vreelandella stevensii. Its description in RNAcentral is "partial 16S ribosomal RNA". It matches the Rfam family "Bacterial small subunit ribosomal RNA", at positions 338 to 795 of the family's 1533-position model. The record is from RNAcentral. Lineage: Bacteria; Pseudomonadati; Pseudomonadota; Gammaproteobacteria; Oceanospirillales; Halomonadaceae.
CCUACGGGAGGCAGCAGUGGGGAAUAUUGGACAAUGGGGGCAACCCUGAUCCAGCCAUGCCGCGUGUGUGAAGAAGGCCCUCGGGUUGUAAAGCACUUUCAGUGAGGAAGAACGCCUGGUGGUUAAUACCCAUCAGGAAAGACAUCACUCACAGAAGAAGCACCGGCUAACUCCGUGCCAGCAGCCGCGGUAAUACGGAGGGUGCGAGCGUUAAUCGGAAUUACUGGGCGUAAAGCGCGCGUAGGUGGCUUGAUAAGCCGGUUGUGAAAGCCCCGGGCUCAACCUGGGAACGGCAUCCGGAACUGUCAAGCUAGAGUGCAGGAGAGGAAGGUAGAAUUCCCGGUGUAGCGGUGAAAUGCGUAGAGAUCGGGAGGAAUACCAGUGGCGAAGGCGGCCUUCUGGACUGACACUGACACUGAGGUGCGAAAGCGUGGGUAGCAAACAGGAUUAGAUACCCUAGAGUC